CAGGGUGUAAUUGUCCGGACUUUGUAUGGCACGUCCCCUGACCGUGGAAACAAGAACAGUCUUUACAUCUGCUAAAUCUACAGGGGGUUAAUCUGUAGACAAUGCCGCCAUACAGUCACGCUGCCUAGAUUAUUGCUGUAUACAAGGAGGAAUGUCAAGCCUUUCACUGGACGACAACGCCUGGCGUGGAUCGAAGAGCCUUGAUUUGUAGAAAGCCUGCUAACUCAGCAAUAAUUAUCGCGGAAUAUACCAGAAGCUAGGGAAAGAACUCGGUGAAAACGUGUCAUGCACAUUUCAUGUCGUUAUUUCCAGUAUAUCAAGGAACGAACAGACACCGGUUUGAACUUCUCGCAGAUCAUUUUUAAAACAAAAAAUGAUUUAGUAACGUUUCUUUAGAAUGAUUGCGAUCUGACUAACAGACAGAGCGCUUGCGAUAAUGGCGCGCACAUGGUGUCGUCUGCCUUGUUCCUGCGCCAUCUUUGUUUUGUCCACAGUGAUCCUGUUCGUGGUGUUGGUGAUUGUGAGCACGGGAGGUAUACAGGGGUUUCAGGAGCCCCCUAGACAGACCUCUGUGCUGGACAAACUGGCAAAGCUUGGUCAGUCAGUCGGACUUCAGUCAGACUCAAUACGGAAAAUGGCGGAUUCGGCUUUCAAAUUUGUGGCCGGGAAGUUGGAAGAAACAUUUAACAUUACUAUACCUUUGAAAAACAACGUAACGUUAUCUUUAACGGAAUGAAAGUCGUAUUCGAUAAACCACAUUUUUCACAUCUGUUCCUGUAUAUAUAUACACAAUCAAAAUAAAUCUUGGUCUAAUCAAAA
This is a long non-coding RNA of Haliotis rufescens (red abalone), 819 nucleotides long. RefSeq lists it as uncharacterized. The transcript is spliced from 2 exons. Lineage: Eukaryota; Metazoa; Mollusca; Gastropoda; Lepetellida; Haliotidae. The record is from RefSeq and is a predicted model, not a curated record.